UGAUGAAUAUUGGUCAAUGGACGCAAGUCUGAACCAGCCAAGUAGCGCGCAGGAUGACGGCCCUAUGGGUUGUAAACUGCUUUUAUAUGGGGAUAAAGUGGGGAACGUGUUCCCUCUUGCACGUACCACAUGCAUAAGGACCGGCUAAUUCCGUGCCAGCAGCCGCGGUAAUACGUUAGGUUCGGGCGUUAUCCGGAUUUAUUGGGUUUAAAGGGAGCGUAGGCCGUUUGGUAAGCGUGUUGUGAAAUGUAGGAGCUCAACUUCUAGAUUGCAGCGCGAACUGUCAGACGUGAGUGCGCACAACGUAGGCGGAAUUCAUGGUGUAGCGGUGAAAUGCUUAGAUAUCAUGAAGAACUCCGAUUGCGAAGGCAGCUGACGGGAGAGCAAAUGACGCAGAAGCUCGAAGGUGCGGGUAUCGAACAGG
RNAcentral lists this ribosomal RNA (424 nucleotides) under Verrucomicrobiota bacterium. RNAcentral describes it as "Verrucomicrobia bacterium partial 16S ribosomal RNA". It matches the Rfam family "Bacterial small subunit ribosomal RNA", at positions 355 to 776 of the family's 1533-position model. The record is from RNAcentral. Lineage: Bacteria; Pseudomonadati; Verrucomicrobiota.